This 1489-nucleotide ribosomal RNA is filed under the name human gut metagenome. RNAcentral's name for it is "bacterial LSU rRNA". It matches the Rfam family "Bacterial large subunit ribosomal RNA", at positions 466 to 1988 of the family's 2925-position model. The record is from RNAcentral.
CUAAAUACUACCCAGUGACCGAUAGCGUAUAGUACUGUGAAGGAAAGGUGAAAAGGACCCCGGGAGGGGAGUGAAAGAGAACCUGAAACCCUGUGUUUACAAGCUGUGGAAGUUCUUUAAAUGAACAACCGCGUACUUUUUGUAGAACGGUCCGGCGAGUUACGCUUACUGGCAAGGUUAAGCACUUCAGGUGCGGAGCCGUAGGGAAACCAAGUCUUAAGAGGGCCAGAGUCAGUAGGAGUAGACCCGAAACCGGGUGAUCUAUCCAUGUCCAGGUUGAAGUUGCCGUAAAAGGCAAUGGAGGACCGAACCCACAUCCGUUGAAAAGGGUGGGGAUGAGGUGUGGAUAGGGGAGAAAUUCCAAUCGAACCCGGAGAUAGCUGGUUCUCCUCGAAAUAGCUUUAGGGCUAGCCUCGAUUUAGUCUUAUGGAGGUAGAGCACUGAAUUUCCGCGGGGGCGUCAAAGCUUACCAAAGAAUAUCAAACUCCGAAUGCCAUGUAGAUGAUGAACGGGAGUCAGACUGCACGAGAUAAGUUGGGCGGUCAAAAGGGAAAGAGCCCAGACCUUCAGUUAAGGUCCCCAAGUGCGCGUUAAGUGGAAAAGGAUGUGGGAUUUCGAAGACAACCAGGAUGUUGGCUCAGAAGCAGCCAUCCAUUCAAAGAGUGCGUAAUAGCUCACUGGUCGAGAGGUCCUGCGCCGAAAAUGUCCGGGGCUGAAACGCGCCACCGAAACUAAGGAACCGAAAGGUUGGUAGAGGAGCAUUGCAUGCGGGAAGAAGCAGUACCGUAAGGAGCUGUGGACUGCAUGGAAGAGAGAAUGCCGGAAUGAGUAGCGAGAAUAAGGUGAGAAUCCUUAUGGCCGAAUAUCCAAGGUUUCCAGAGUAAAGCUGAUCUGCUCUGGGUAAGUCGGGGCCUAAGGCGAGGUCGAAAGACGUAGUCGAUGGAUAACAGGUUGAGAUUCCUGUACCGCAUAUAAACAGAACUGUGGGGACGCAUGUGGAAAGCAUAAGCCGGGAAUGGAAAGACCGGUACAAGCGGGGUAGGUGUGUGACAGGCAAAUCCGUCACAUAAGCCGAAGACGUGAUGUGGAGCGAAAUUUAGUAGUGAAGUAUGUGAGCCAUGUGCCGAGAAAAGCCGCUAUUGUUUUAUAUGUGCCCGUACCGUAAACCGACACAGGUGGAUGAGGAGAGAAUCCUAAGGCCGGCGGAAGAAGCAUUGUCAAGGAACUCGGCAAAAUGGCCCCGUAACUUAGGGAUAAGGGGUGCCUGGGAAACCAGGCCGCAGAGAAUAGGCUCAAGCAACUGUUUAGCAAAAACACAGGUCUAUGCGAAACCGAAAGGUGAGGUAUAUGGGCUGACGCCUGCCCGGUGCUGGAAGGUUAAGAGGAGAGGUUAGCGCAAGCGAAGCUUUGAAUUUAAGCCCCAGUAAACGGCGGCCGUAACUAUAACGGUCCUAAGGUAGCGAAAUUCCUUGUCGGGUAAGUUCCGACC